GCGGGGGUGUCUGAGCCUGGUCAAAGGAGCAGGGCUUAGGACCCUGUGCGCUUAGGCGCUUCGUGGGUUCAAAUCCCAUCCCCCGCA
Molecule: transfer RNA, 87 nt
Filed under: Microcaldota archaeon
Lineage: Archaea; Nanobdellati; Microcaldota
Description: tRNA-Leu
Rfam family: tRNA
About the family: Transfer RNA (tRNA) molecules are approximately 80 nucleotides in length.
Source: RNAcentral